RNAcentral lists this transfer RNA (72 nucleotides) under Insectozyma prachuapensis. RNAcentral describes it as "Candida prachuapensis tRNA-Cys". The record is from RNAcentral. Lineage: Eukaryota; Fungi; Ascomycota; Pichiomycetes; Serinales; Debaryomycetaceae.
CAUUAUGUAACUAACUGGUGUUAGAGGCCUAUUGCAGCUAAGUCAUGAAGGGUUCAAUUCCCUACAUAAUGU